RNAcentral lists this ribosomal RNA (292 nucleotides) under uncultured bacterium. RNAcentral describes it as "partial 16S ribosomal RNA". The record is from RNAcentral.
GGACUACCGGGGUAUCUAAUCCUGUUUGCUCCCCACGCUUUCGUGUCUCAACGUCAGGUAUGGACCAAGAAGCUGCCUUCGCCAUUGGUGUUCCUCUCGAGAUCUACGCAUUUUACCGCUACUCCGAGAAUUCCACUUCUCUCUUCCAACCUCUAGCACAUUAGUUUCUACCGCAUGCCUCCGGUUAGGCCGGAGAAUUAAACAGUUGACUUGAUAUGCCGUCUACACACCCUUUACGCCCAAUGAUUCCGAAUAACGCUUGCACCACUCGUAUUACCGCGGCUGCUGGCAC